AGAGUUUGAUCCUGGCUCAGAGUGAACGCUGGCGGUAGGCCUAACACAUGCAAGUCGAACGGCAGCACAGUAAGAGCUUGCUCUUACGGGUGGCGAGUGGCGGACGGGUGAGGAAUACAUCGGAAUCUACUUUUUCGUGGGGGAUAACGUAGGGAAACUUACGCUAAUACCGCAUACGACCUACGGGUGAAAGCAGGGGAUCUUCGGACCUUGCGCGAUUGAAUGAGCCGAUGUCGGAUUAGCUAGUUGGCGGGGUAAAGGCCCACCAAGGCGACGAUCCGUAGCUGGUCUGAGAGGAUGAUCAGCCACACUGGAACUGAGACACGGUCCAGACUCCUACGGGAGGCAGCAGUGGGGAAUAUUGGACAAUGGGCGCAAGCCUGAUCCAGCCAUACCGCGUGGGUGAAGAAGGCCUUCGGGUUGUAAAGCCCUUUUGUUGGGAAAGAAAUCCAGCUGGUUAAUACCCGGUUGGGAUGACGGUACCCAAAGAAUAAGCACCGGCUAACUUCGUGCCAGCAGCCGCGGUAAUACGAAGGGUGCAAGCGUUACUCGGAAUUACUGGGCGUAAAGCGUGCGUAGGUGGUUGUUUAAGUCUGUUGUGAAAGCCCUGGGCUCAACCUGGGAACUGCAGUGGAAACUGGACGACUAGAGUGUGGUAGAGGGUAGCGGAAUUCCUGGUGUAGCAGUGAAAUGCGUAGAGAUCAGGAGGAACAUCCAUGGCGAAGGCAGCUACCUGGACCAACACUGACACUGAGGCACGAAAGCGUGGGGAGCAAACAGGAUUAGAUACCC
This 792-nucleotide ribosomal RNA is filed under the name uncultured bacterium. Its description in RNAcentral is "bacterial SSU rRNA". It matches the Rfam family "Bacterial small subunit ribosomal RNA", at positions 8 to 787 of the family's 1533-position model. The record is from RNAcentral.